Molecule: long non-coding RNA, 740 nt
Organism: Nicotiana attenuata
Lineage: Eukaryota; Viridiplantae; Streptophyta; Magnoliopsida; Solanales; Solanaceae
Exons: 2
Source: RefSeq, a predicted model, not a curated record
GCGGCGGUGACACCCCAAACCACCCCAAAAUUUAACCACACAAUCUCCAGCCUCCCCUCAUCCCUAUCCUACCACCAAUUUCCCCAAAUCCCCACCCAUUUUCUUCAAUUUCAAAUCUGAGAUUCCAAAAAGAAAUAAAAACCCUAAUCCGUUCCUCUUUCUGAUUUUAAUGGUUUUCAAGGCUUGAUUCGAGCCGAAAUUUAUGCCAAUCGAUUGUUCUCAGUAAGAACAAUCGAUUAGUGUCAUUUUCGGCCUAUUUCGAAGUUCGCCGGAUUCCGGCAAGUCACUGCUGACCAGCAGAGUUCAUCACUUUCAUCGUUUCGUCGGUCUACUUCAUUCGUCGUCACGUUUCCGGCCCAAAAUCAGUCACUUUGAGUUUAGAAAAGCAUCAGCAGCACCUUAUGAUUUUGAUUAUGGCUAAAUGGAUUCGGAGUUCAAACCGGCAUAAAGUUAUUUGUUGUCUUAGUAGUUAAAAAUAGUUGAAAUGAUUCUUCCAGUUUAGAAUUCAGGUUGUUCUUGUAAAAUUAAUUUAUUGUGUGAUGAUUUAUUUGUGCUCAUUUAUGUAAUAAAAGUAGUUGCAGUAGUAUUCAAUUUCAAAGUAAAGUGAAUGUGAGGCUGUUUAUGUAAAGCUAGAAUAGGAGGAUCCAUUCCUAUGUCUAUAUCUCUGUUUCGUUUCAACAUUGAACACAUAUAUUUUGUCUUCCACUGUUCUGAUUCUGAAAUUAUGAUAGUUUAUUCAA